GUAGCCUUUCGAAAGGAAGAUUAAUACCGCAUAAGAUUGUAGUAUCGCAUGAUAUAGCAAUUAAAAGGAGCAAUUCGCUAUAAGAUGGACCCGCGUCGCAUUAGCUAGUUGGUGAGGUAAUGGCUCACCAAGGCGACGAUGCGUAGCCGACCUGAGAGGGUGAUCGGCCACAUUGGGACUGAGACACGGCCCAGACUCCUACGGGAGGCAGCAUG
RNAcentral lists this ribosomal RNA (215 nucleotides) under uncultured bacterium. RNAcentral's name for it is "partial 16S ribosomal RNA". It matches the Rfam family "Bacterial small subunit ribosomal RNA", at positions 143 to 353 of the family's 1533-position model. The record is from RNAcentral.